CCUACGGGUGACAGCAGUGGGGAAUCUUGGGCAAUGGGCGCAAGCCUGACCCAGCAACGCCGCGUGAAGGAAGAAGGCUUUCGGGUUGUAAACUUCUUUUAAGAGGGAAGAGCAGAAGACGGUACCUCUUGAAUAAGCUCCGGCUAACUACGUGCCAGCAGCCGCGGUAAUACGUAGGGAGCGAGCGUUGUCCGGAUUUACUGGGUGUAAAGGGCGUGCAGCCGGGAGUACAAGUCAGAUGUGAAAUCCCGCGGCUCAACCCCGUACUGCCGUUGAAACUGCAUCCCUUGAGUGCGCGAGAAGUAUGCGGAAUGCGUGGUGUAGCGGUGAAAUGCAUAGAUAUCACGCAGAACUCCGAUUGCGAAGGCAGCAUACCGGCGCGCAACUGACGCUCAUGCACGAAAGCGUGGGUAUCGAACAGGAUUAGAUACCCCAGUAGUC
RNAcentral lists this ribosomal RNA (441 nucleotides) under uncultured bacterium. RNAcentral describes it as "partial 16S ribosomal RNA". It matches the Rfam family "Bacterial small subunit ribosomal RNA", at positions 338 to 795 of the family's 1533-position model. The record is from RNAcentral.